Molecule: long non-coding RNA, 618 nt
Organism: Zalophus californianus (California sea lion)
Lineage: Eukaryota; Metazoa; Chordata; Mammalia; Carnivora; Otariidae
Exons: 3
Source: RefSeq, a predicted model, not a curated record
AAGGAUUAUCUGCUUCCAGGCUGCUGUUGACUACAGGAAUAUUGGGACACAAACCUGCAUACCUUCUCAGAUAUGUGCAACCACCUCCCUCUCCCCCUUGCCACCUCCCCACUCAGCUGGGGCCUCCUCUAAGUCACUUUUGGACCUGGAUGAAAUGCCACACUGCAGGGCAUGGGAUCUAUACCAUCCUGAGUAGCCACAAAGGACCCGGAUGAAACAACUUGGGAGUGCAGAGGAGUCAGCUGCCCAGUGGAUAAACCUCGAACAACUAGGAACAGGAGACAGGAGGAAACCAGAUAGGAUAAUAUGAAAAAUGACUUGUGUUUCCUGGGUACAAGCCAAAUGAUGGGAGCAUAACUGAAGCUGGACCAAUUCAACAUGGGCAUAACAAUUCACCACAAAUAAAAUGGAAAGCAUAGUAAUUAUAAGAGAUAAAUGAGAUUUGACUAUAAGUAUUAAAAAUAAAAUAUUUUAAAGCACAAUUCCAUAUUAAGCUCUAUAUGGAAUUAGACUCCUAGAGAUGCUACUAAAGAAAAAUUCUGUGCUAUAUUAGAGGGCACAAGCUAAGAGAAAUAAAUAUAUCUAGAGACCCCUUGGUGGUUGCAUUGCCAGUCUUAA